This 17972-nucleotide long non-coding RNA is filed under the name Lathyrus oleraceus (garden pea). RNAcentral describes it as "Pisum sativum (pea) long non-coding RNA (PSAT_LNC034763)". Lineage: Eukaryota; Viridiplantae; Streptophyta; Magnoliopsida; Fabales; Fabaceae. The record is from RNAcentral.
AAACAAAUUUUUAAAAAAAAUUAUAGUAUGUUAACAAAGCGUCAUAAAAUUAUUUUUAAAAAUAUUAAAAAAAAAUUAAUUUUUUUAAAACUAAAACAAACAGAUUUUUGCUUCUGAGCCAUCAUCUUACAAAUUCAAGAGUUAAUAAAAAUAGGAAAAUUAAAGAAAAAGCUUGAGUGUCAUUACAAUAACUAAUUAAAAGAUCUUAAAUAUUCAAUCGUAUAUUUUAUACUCUCCCAGAUCUGAUACUCGUAGAAUCAGAAAUGUUUUGUACUUUCUUCACACUUGUUACCAAUGCACUUAAUAACAUAAAACACGUUAUCACUUUGUGGACAAUCUUCAUCAGCUUCACAAAUAUCUUCUAUAAUGAAACAAAAAAAAGAAUAAUAUGAUGUUAUUAUGAGAUGAUAAAAGACUGUGUGCAAACUACGAAACAAAGAAUGAAUUCUGAAAAGAAAAAAUGGCUCACCACUUCCAACUUUCAUAGUGACAAGGAACAAGGAAAGGUAAAGAAUCAUAGAACAAACAAACUUUAUAAUUUUAGCCAUAUUUUUCUCCAUUGCAUUGUAAAAAACUGAAUGUUAGCUCUUUAUAGUCACAAAGUUCAUGCUUAUCUAUAAAAAAAAUAUAGUUUUUAACACUUAUGAAGCAGUAAAAACCUUUCAUAAAGAUAUAAUUAUUAUUGAAUACCUCUUGGGGGUAGGAUUAGCUACUUUUAUUAUUGACUCUCUUUAGUGCCGUGUAUAUUAAAACUUAAAUAAAUAAUUAUAAAAAUAGUUAGAUGAGAGAGAAAGAAUAGGGAAAUGAAAGAGAUUUCUUUCCCAAUGACAGUCUCUUGCGUAUGAAAAUACAACAUUAUCAUUGUAAAAUCACUUCACUUAUUUUUUAAAUUUAUAGCUGUAAUACCCCAAAAUUUACCGUACAAUAUUUCCUGGAAGCAUGGGAUUAUGUUUCACACUUCAUUGGCAUCAUACUAGGUCAUACUCAUUGCAUACUGCAUUAGUGACUUGGAAAUCAGGUUUUGAUUGAUCACUCCUUAACAGAAGGAUGUUUCACACUUCAUUGGCAUCAUACUAGGUCAUACUCAUUGCAUACUGCAUUAGUGACUUGGAAAUCAGGUUUUGAUUGAUCACUCCUUAACAGAAGGAGCCCACACAAAGCAAGAUUGAGAAUUGAACUUCAUUCUCUAGGUAUACCAGUCUCAAGGGUCUCAGGGGGCUCUAGGUAUCUUAUUAUGGUCUUCAGUUCAUCAGUGAAGGAUUCAGAGCUAUCAGAGUGUUCAUCUGGAUUUAAUCAAGAAAUUAGGAUUUCAUGGCUACAUGCAACAAGCAAUGUUUGGUUGGAAGUAUAGGAGCUCAUCCAUGUCAUGAUUGGAGAGGCAUCUUGGCCUAGGAAGAUUCACAAUUAUCUCAGAAAGAUUCAUUGGCAAGCAGUGCAAUCAGUCCACGAUCAAUUUUGCCCUAAAAUUAGGGUUUGGUAUAAAAUCAGUUUAUUUCUGAUUCUUUGGGUGAAACUCUUUGCACUCACUUUAAGCCCAUUUUCCAUCAAGAUAAAAGUUCCAUUUGAAAAUUUCUCCAACAUGAAGCUUGUUCCUCUUGUUCCAAGCUUUAUAGAAAUAUAAAGUUUGCCCCAUAUGGAUCAAAAUUGAGAAAGUUAUGCUUGGUCAAAGUAGGGCAUAUUUUUAGGACACUUAGAAAAAUUUCUAAGUCUAAAAAUCUUUAAAUUUUGUCAAAGAUUUUUGGCCAGUUUUCUUGCACUUCAAGGCACCAUUUGAAAAUAUUUUCUUCACAACCAUUAUACCUUGUCAUGUCCUCUUUCACCUCCCUUUGGAGUCAUCUCAUUUGGAUCCAUGGUUUGAGAGAUACACUCACUUAAAGUAAGUACCAUGACUUGAAAUUUCUAGGCAGAUUUCAAGUCACCUUGGCCAGCCUUGCAUUUUUUCAGUUUUGCUCAACUUUAGGUCUCUUUUUAGGUUGCUUCUCCUCACCAUUUCUUUUAACUUUGAACAUCAAAGAUACUCUCCAAUAUGCCAUCUUUCAUAUGCCUUUGGAAUGAGAUUCAUAGGAUGUUUCAUUUGCAAGAUAUUAACCUCUAAAGUCAUCACUUAGACCUGAUUUUGGUGCCCAACAUUUAUGCCUAGCUUGCCGAACCAAUCUUGCAAUGCUGUGACAUGAUCUUGAGGUCCAUUUUUCAUCUUCUUCCACUCAUUAUUUCCACCCAUUCUCAACAUGAAACAUGUUAUACUCCAUAUUUUCUUCCUACUGUUUGCAUUAUCUCCUCAAUUGGUGAUUUGCUCAUCAAGUUAUGUUGCCAUAAAGUCACCACCUUGAAUCAAUUCCUUGCUUGCUGCCAGACCAAGCCAUGCUGCACAAAUGCACCUCCACAGCCAAUGUUUUGUUUUCCUUAUUUGGCCAUACAUCACAUUUCCACUCACCUAGAAAUCUUACCAAAAUAAGAAACAGCACCUCACGUGCCCUCUUUCCCAUUUCUAAUACACCUCACCAAAUGCAACCAACUUGCAUCACUUGCUCAUGGAUAAACAGAUUGUUUUAGAGCCCAUUAAGGAGUUUGACCCACAAUACUUAAAUCUAGAAACCCUAAGCAUGAAAGGAGGCCACUGGAUUUUCGAGCAAGAAAAGGCAAGGUUCAUUAGAAGUCAGCUUGUAUUUCUCAGCAAGGUCUCAAGGUGAAGCUCUUGAAGCACCAAGGAAGCAUCAUUUUCUUCUAGUCUCUCCACAGUCGAGAAGCAGUGGACUAGACUUCCACUAGGUAACUCUCUUGCUCCAUUUCCAUAGCCAUUUAUUUACACAUCUAUGCCCAUUAUCAUGCUUGUUCCAUUACCAUGCUAAUCAUGCUUACUUCUGAAGCCCUCAGUACGAGGCAUUGUUCAUGGUGUUGAGUUGUGUUGUUAAUUUUCUGCUCAUGUCCGUGUUCAUAUUGACACAUUGCUGCUAACUUUUCUCCAUGAAUAAGCUACCAUUUCACCUAAAAGAAGUUACCACAUUAAUUAUCGCAUUUUGUACUUGAGAUCUGGGCUUUGUUUCAUGAUUUUUGAUGCAAUAUAGUGUUCGUAUUUUUGUGUUGAAGUUGAGAGAAACACACUGCAUUUCCUGCGUUUUCUGCAUGAUUAUGGCUAGGGUUUGGCUCAAGGAAGAAGACGACCACGUGUCGUCUUGAGAGCCAUUGGAUCCAGCGUUUCUGUUUUAAUCUUGUCCGUCCGCUGCCUUUUGUCUUUUAGUGACUUAAGUUGAAAGUGACCAAUUGAUAAGUGUUCACAUGUUUUUUUAUUAAAAUGUUCAUUUAAGAUGUCACGCCCUGAUUUAAGUUUGGUUUGGAUCAUGGGCUUCCACUUUUUGCUUUUGACACCCUGCGCUUAUGGCCCAUUAGCGUAUCACUCAUUUCUCAGUUCAAUCACAAAUGCUAAUACACCACCUCUUUUCAUGUUCUUUUUUUUUAAUUCCCAAUUUAUUUAUGUUUUGAUUUUAAUUAAUUUAAAAUGUUUUAUUUGUUCAUAAAAAUAUCCAAAAAUAUUUUCCAUAUUGCUUGAUGCCUUAUUUAAUUUUAUUUAAUUUUUAUUUUCGCAUUUACCUAGUAUUAAUAUUUUAUUUUAAUUAUUCAUUCUAAGUGGUCCAUUUUAGCAUACAUUUGAUGCUUGAUUUUAUUUUUAUAACUUAAAAUUAUUUUCAGCUUCUGAUUUUUGGGAUGAAGGUUGACCAUUGCGCCAUGGUCAACCUGACUUUUUCUUAGAUUUAUUUCAAUUAUUUUUAAAAUCUUUUUGGGGGAUGAUGAUGUCCUAACCCCACCUUACUUAGUUUAAUUUUUCAUAAUUUUCAUGAUUAAUUUGCUAUUUAUUUGAUAUUUAUUAAGUUGGCUCGAAUUUUCAGUUGAUUUCUUUAUGAUCAAUGUUUGAUUUAGGGAUUGCUUAUGGCAAUUGAAGAGAUCUUUUGAUCCUCCCUUGUUCAUCUCAUAGACCAUGUAUUAGAGGCCUUUUAUCUUGAUUUUAUAUGAUCCUUACCUCAUUUCUUGAUUUGAUUAUUUCAGUAGACCCUGCGCAUCUUUUCAUCUGUCUGAUUCAUCUGUUAUCUGUUAUACUUGUUUCUUUCAUCCAUGCUUACUAUUGCUUGAUUGUUUAACAUGUUCAUACUUCCCAUGCCUUGUUUAAUGCUCCGCUAUUUUAUUCUUUGAUUCUUUGAUUUGAUUAUUUACCUGUUUACUUAUCUGGUUUGAUUGAUAACGGUUGCCUACUUGUAUGAUGAUUGAGGCAUAUAUUCUUAUUGUUUGAUUGCCAUGAACCAUCCCCAUUCAUAAAAAAUGUACCCCUAUCCCAUAAAGUGUAUAAUAUUUAUUCUUUCAUUCUUUAUUCAUCUAUUAAUACAAGAAUUAAAACGAACAUCCGAUAAUCAUUUCAAAACAAGAUCAAAAGCUCGAUCCAACGUAAUUCUUUCAUUCUUUAUUCAUCUAUUAAUACAAGAAUUAAAACGAACAUCCGAUAAUCAUUUCAAAACAAGAUCAAAAGCUCGAUCCAACGUCGAGUAAUCAUUUUCAAAACUUAACAGAACCAACACACAUUCAUCCAUCCUCUUGUAAGUCGAUCGCCUCAGGCAUCGCCAUCUCUUGUAAGUCGAUCGCCUCAGGCAUCGCCAUCUACCUUUAUCCAUGGCUCCUCUCCUUGCUCCGUCCGUCGACUCUUGUUCCGUUUAGGUAGCACCCAUUAGGUAGAACCCUUUGUAUGAUAACAUAGGUAGAAUUUCCUUAUUCUUUGCAUGCUAACAUUAGGUAGAUGUUCCCUUUUGUAAAUCCUAACACAUAGGUCCACAUUGCAUGAUAACUUUAGGGCAAAGUUUCCCCACUUUUAGACCUUCCGUGUGUCUCCGAUCUUGUGGCAUGUCAGUCCGUUCUAUUGCAAAGAGGUAACUGCCUAAGACUCGAUUCAGCGAGCUGCGAUACCUACUGCUAGGACGUUGAACACAUUACCCACUUUCCUUUGACAUAGCUGGUGUCCUCUUUUGUAAGUCCAUGUUCAUAUGGCAAUCCUUAACCCCUAGUUAGCCGAACUACGGCAACUCUGAUUCUCAUGUUCAGAUGAGAUACGUAGGCACGAGACGCGAUGUCUUGCCGAGUUUUACUGACGACUAACAACUAACCCUUGCUUGCUUUCGCCCUUGCUGCGAUUCUUUUCUCUCGCCCUCGUUGCGAUCGAGACCUUCCCUUUCUCUUGCCCUAGUUGCAAUCGAGACCUUUGUUCCCGUAGUUAGCUGAAUUACGUUUUUCUCUGAUUCUCAUUCCAGAUGAGAUACGUAGGCAUAAGACGCGAUGUCUUAUCGAGCACACUUCUCUUUCGCCCAUAGGUAGCCGAGCUACGAAGACUCUGAUUCUCAUACUCAGGUGAGAUACGUAAGAUACGUAGGCAUAAGACGCGAUGUCUUAUCGAGCACACUUCUCUUUCGCCCAUAGGUAGCCGAGCUACGAAGACUCUGAUUCUCAUACUCAGGUGAGAUACGUAGGUAGUGGAUGCGACAUCCUUGCGAGUCAAUUUCUUUUGACCUUCUUUUAGCAGAUAGUACCUUAGAUAUACCUACACCCUUUAGACUAUAACAACAAGAGUGGAUACCUUAGAGUACUACGGAUGCGUAGGGGUGCUAAUACCUUCCCUUCGCAUAAUCGACUCCCAAACCCUAGAUUUGGUUGUGAGACCUUGGCUUUUCCUCUCUUCAGGUUUUCUUCGAUCGUUUCCUUUCCCUCAUUUGGGAUAAAUAACGAACGGUGGCGGCUCUUCUGUUUUUUCCCGCCGGUUGUUUUUUUUGCGUUGCGACAAUAGGAUUUAAACGAUUUUUUUAUAAAUUUUGUAUUUGCCUAACUCUUUUGUAGGUAAGGCAUGACCACUAUUGAUCUAUCAAGUUCACAUCUAGGGUUUAAGACCCUCAUUUCUAAGAGCACAACCAAGGAAUGAUCCAUAAUUUCUCUAGGCAUUAUACAUGAGUCCCCAUGAUCUCUACAUGUUAUUUUGAUCAAGAUUUCUUCAAGAGUUUGGAGUUGGUUUACCUUGGAAACCCUAGUUCAUCUAGGUAUCUUGAGUAACUUCUUCAACAAGCUUCUUCACCAAUUGAUCAAAUUUCUCAAGGGACACUUCAAAUUUCAUCUUCUUAUGCAUAUAUGAUCUACCAUGAGCCUAAUAAGUCAAGAUAAUUACAAGUUAGCAAGUUGGUUGAUGGUGGUUGGCCAGAUGAAUUCAUCUGAUCAAAACUGGGUCCCCCUAGACCCUAUCUCCUACAAUUUUUAUCAUAUGAAAAUUAUUACAAGAGAAAAAUUACUCUAAAUGAUAUUUCAAAUAACUUUCAUGUUGAAGUCUAGAGCUAAUUUUGCUUGGAAAGUCAUUGUCUAUGUUAAAACAUUAUAGGUCAUUUUGUCUAAACCCUAAUUUGAAAGUCAACUUCCCAAGGUCAUAAUUUGCUCAAUUUUUAUGAUAUGAAAUAUUUCCAAGUUGCACAAUCAAAUUCAAUGUGUCUAAUAUAACUUUUAUGUUUGUAGUAAGAUCUAAAUCAACAUUGAACAAGUGAUUUUCCUCAACUUCAAAAAUGCAUAACUCAUUCAUCACAAUUCCAAAUGAUGUCAAAUUUUUGACUGUUUUGAAGGUUUUUGAAAUAGCUACAACUUUAAUGAAGACACGUUUCUCAUUUGGAGCUCACAUAAAAAGUUAGGCAAGGUGGAAUAAUUGAACAUGUGGCUUGACACUUAGAAAAUAUUUUGACAUGUUGAAAUUUCCGAACUUCCACCUCAAACUUCACCAUGAUACAAGUUCCAAAUGGAAAAGUGCUCAACAUAAGAGUUGUUCCUCUUGAUCUAAGCUUUCCAAAGAGUCCUAAUUCGUUCAUUUUGGACAAAUAUUAAGGGGUCUGCGUAUGGCUUAAACAGGGUUGUAUCAGUUGGUAAGAAUCAUGUUUCAAACAUUCAAAUCUAUUUGCCUUGCAAUCCAAGCUUCAUUCAGACCUCAUUUCAGUUGAUUGUGGACCUAGUAGAGUUGCUUCAUGGGCCUGCACACGCCCAUGCAAGCAUGUAUAUUGCAUUGCCAAUUUUGGAAGUAUUUUCAAGUGUGCAAAUAACACUCAUCUUUUGCUAUAAAUAGAGGUCCAAUGCUUCAGUUUCAAGAACCUUGCGCGCCAGCUUUGAAUCCCUAGCUCCAAACCCUCACCAUUCAAAGGAAAACCUAAUAAAUUUCAAUUGAAAUUUGAGUUUGAUUCUCACUGUUUGGAGAUUCAAAAACUCCAGGAUCCAAAGCUUUGCACCCUUCUUAAUCCACUUCUCCAAGCUCCAUAAGCAAGAUCAAACAAGAAUUGAAGCAAGAGAGAUCCAUUUCUGCACAGCGUUGAAGGUAUUUUUCCAUAUUUUUCUUCUCUUCAAUUCUCUCUCAAUUCUCAAUAGUUCUCUUGGAUCCUUGGUUGUCUGAAGUACUACCAAUGUAGCCAAGAAGAUUGAGUUGCUUUGAGGUCAAGUCGAAGCAACUCGGUUGACACAACUUAAAAUUCAACUCCACGUAUCUCUCUAUAUAUUUGGAGUUAGGUUAAAUUAAGGUGAUAUUCAUGAUCUAGGCCAUUUUUUCUUUAAGAUCAUGUCCUCCUUUUUCAUUUAUGAUAUGGUGAUGAAUGAACCAGUCCGGCCAGGGUCAUCGAAGAAGAUGAUCGGACUUUGGCUCCGGCGAUGAGCUGGAAGUAUUCAGAGCCAUUGAUUUGAUUUAAAACGUUUUAAUCUGAAGCACUCAUUGUGAUUACCAAGCGUGUGAAAUAUUGACUAGCGUGCACCAUGGAAUGCGUGCUCUCCACCACUUGAUCUGCCACCUCAAUUAAUGAGGGAGAUCAAGUGGUCCACAUUUUUUUUGUUAUCUAAUUUUUAUUUUUAUUACUUUGUUUUUCAUUAAUUCAUAUUAAUUUUAAUAUUGAUCCAAAAAAUAUGAGAGUUUCACCAAAAAAAUUUAAAUAAAAUCAUCUUUCAUUUUCUGAAUUAAAAUUAUUUUUUUGGAUCAUUAUUAAUAUUUUUCAUGAUUUAAUUGAUUUUGUGAAUAUUUUUCAUUCUUUAAAAAUACUUUUAAGAUUCCAAAAAUUCAAAAAAAAAUUCUCCAAGGUCCUUUGACCUUGUUUGACCUAUGAAAAAUCUCAUGGCCAUUUCUUUGGUGUUUUGAUGAGGUUUUUUAGGAAUUUGACCAACCAUAUUUAAUUUAAUGCAUUCUUUUUAAUUUUUUUAAUUGGUUAAUUGCCAAAUUAAUUGUGUAGAGCCAUUUUAAUUGACUUUGUGAGUUUAACUUGUGUUGUUGGGCCUUGGUCAAGGUAGAUUUGACUUUGCUAAGUUAAGAUCAUUGGAUUUAGGGGAUUGAUGGAAUGUACACUCCAUCUCCCAAAAUGAAUGAAUAAUCUUAAUUUGGUAAGAGUCCUCCUUUGACCAAUUUGUGUUUGAUCCAUUUCCCCUCCCUCUUCAUCUCAUUCCCCUUCUUUAUUCAUUCAUGUCAUGGACCUAUGAUAUCUUUAUAUCCUAAGGCUAGUUGAUUGCAAAAUCAACAUAAGUAUGGAUAAGAUUAGGUCCCCCACUCUGCAUAUUCUUUUUGUGUGUGGUAUGUAUCAUGAGCAUAGUCCAUUAUACUAUGUCUCUAACAUGCAUUAACACCAAAAUUCUAUUGCCCGACCUCAAAUAGUUGUGACUUCUACAUAAGUCCAAUUAUGAUUGCUUAACAUAGCGCUAAAUUUUGACACAAAAGGCAUAAUGCAUUAACACCAAAAUUCUAUUGCCCGACCUCAAAUAGUUGUGACUUCUACAUAAGUCCAAUUAUGAUUGCUUAACAUAGCGCUAAAUUUUGACACAAAAGGCAUAGCAUUCUAGUUAGUGAGAUUUUAAUUCUCCCCUCUUGCAUGGUAUUGUGUGGAAACUUGGCCUUUUUCCUUCCUUUGGAAGAUGUCUUGGUUCAAGGAUCCAUGCUUGUGUUAAGGGGGUUGAGUGUUCUCCAAAGAAUGACUUAAAACAAAAGCAAAGCAAAAGCAAUACAAACUUCUAAUCAACUAACAACUAACAUUUAAUUUCAAGUCAUUUAAUUUUAAUGCACUUUAAUUUUGAGCCUUAUUCAUUUGCCAUUAUUCAUACCACUCAAGUUGUUUACUUUAAUGUCAUUUUCCCUUUGUCCACUUGGACCAUAUUUUGUGAUAUAUUUUGUUUAUGUAUAUUGUGUUUGUUUGUGUGGUCUUUGACCAUUAAUGUACAUAAUAAGAACAAAAAACCCUAAAAAAAUAUCUUGUGUGGACUGUUGGUUUGAUCUGAGACAAUUGGACUUAGAAUUUAGGCAACAAUCCUUAUGCAAAGGCCUUGGCCAAUGCCAAUUUUCACGUAACCAAGUGCUUGAAAUUUGAAACUCCAUCUGAUACAUCAUUGAAUAUCCAUCUGAGUUCAUAUGUAACAUGAUCAUGUUGAAGCUGUUAUAUUGAACCUGUGAUUUGUGCCAUCUUGAAAUUCAUCUUCUACAUGGGCAAACUUGAAGAAGAUCAUGGAGUUUUUAAGCUUGGAUGUGGCUAUCUUUAUUUGAUUCCUUGCUCUUCAACUUGCUGUUUGUAUAUUGUUGUUGCUUGAUUCAAAAGUACAAGGGAAAUUUGUGUUUCUAUAUGACAUUCUUGUCUAUUGGAUUGCAGCCCAUUGGUCAGAUCUUUUCAACUCUCAACUUUUAAAUUUUAUGCUUAGGAUUAGUCUCUUCAUCUCCUCCCCACUUCUUUAAUUUCAAAAUGCUCUCCCUGGAUCCUUUAAAAGUCUUAUUUGCUUGUGUUUGUUGAUUUCUAAACUUUGCCAUCUUUGCAAACUAGAAACUUUGGCCUUAUGCCAUUGCAUUUUCAAACUCAUUUCUUAAUCAAAGUUGUAAAUAAACUUAACUAUACUUGACUUAAAAAUUUCAAAAGCCAAAAGAACUAACACUCAUUCAAAACAUUUUUAGGCCUUUUGUGCCUUUCGAACUUAACUUUUUGUUAAAAGCAAUGCACUCACUUUGAAAUUGAUACCCACGAACUACGAGGUUUUGAUCCCUCAUUUUUAUGUUGGUACGUAGGCACAAGUCCGAAGGUCUUGUCAAACACAAAAAUAUAAUUAAUGAAUUCUCUUCUCAUCCCCACACUCUUUUUAUUUGCAAACAUCAUUUGUACAAAAACACAUAUGCUCACAAGAAAGGACUCCCUAGGAGUACCUAUGACACUUUGUGUGCUAACACCUUCCCUCUUUGUAACCAACCCCCUUAUCUGUAAUCUCUGGCAUUUUAUUAGUUUUGAUUUGAAAACUUCUUAUUCUUGGGUUUUGUUCGUACUUUUCCCUUUUCCCUUGAAAAUAAUAAAAGCGUGGUGGAGACUCUUGUUUAAUUGAUGUCUAGCUUAUCCAUAGCUUGAUGAUCAUGAAUUUACCGCUACAACAACAAAGGAUCCAUUCUUGGAAAAGGUAUUAUCGGUAAUCCCUCAUCUACUACUACCUCGGAUGUAAUGCUUGAUGGUCUUAAAUAUACCCUUCUUAGCAUUAGCCAACUUUGUGACAAAAGUUUUAAAGUCACUUUCACUAAUACUUGUUAUUUAUUUAAGCAUAAUUAGAAGAAGGAUUGUUUGUUUAAGGGAUUGAGAUUCAAUUAUACUUAUAUGCUAAAUUUAGAGUUGGUACUAAGUGCCUUGCUACCAUGAGUGAAAACUCUUGGUUGUGGCAUAUGAACUUAACUCAUAUUAACUUUGACUUACUAAACAAAGUAACCUCAAAGGAUCUAGUAAUUGGUCUUCCUAAAAUGAAGUUCACAAAAGACCACCUAUGUAAAGCAUGUCAAAUGGGGAAGCAAACGAAGGUCUCUUUUAUAUCGAAAAAUGUAGUUUCAACAUCUAGACCUCUUGAACUUCUUCAUAUGGACCUUUUUGGUUCUUUUAGAACUAAAAGCUUAGGUGGAAACUAUUAUGGAUUUGUUAUACUUGAUUAUUAUUCUAGAUUUUGUUGGUUAUGUUUUGUCUAGUAAGAAUGAGACCUACUUGACUUUCAAAUUAUUUGCUAGAUUAUUCCAAAAUAAAAUGAACUUAAAAAUCAUUUCCAUCCGAAGUGGUCACGAAGGAGAGUUUGAAAAUCUACUCUUUGAAAAUUAUUGUGAAAAACAUGGUAUUGAGCAUAACUUCUUGGCUCAUAUAACUCCACAACAAAAUGGGGUUGUGGAGCGUAAAAAUCGAGUUUUAGAGGAGUUAGCAAGGACGAUGCUUAAUGAAGGUAAUUUACCAAAGUACUUAUAGGUCGAUGAUAUUAGCAUGGCGUGUUAUGUUUUGAAUAGGAUUUUGAUACGUCCCAUUCUAAACAAAACCCCCUAUGAAUUACUUAGAGGUAAAAAAACCUAAUGUCUCUCACCUUCAUGUCUUUGGAUGUAAAUAUUUUAUGUUGAACAAUGGAAAGGACAAUCUAGGUAAAUUUGAUGCUAAAGCCAAUGAGGGUAUCUUCCUCGGAUACUCAUAAUCUAGUAAGUCAUAUAGGGUCUAUAACAAGAGGCUACUUAUUUUUGAGGAGUCCGUUCAUGUAUCUUUUGAUAAGUCUUUUCUGGAAAAUGUUGGGAAAGGUAUGUCUUUUCAUGAUAUAGGUGUGUCUUCGCAUGACAUUCUCAAGGAAGCUGAUAAAGGAAUUGAUCAACCUCAAACAGAUGAAAAUGAGAAAGUAGAAUAUGAUGGUCAAGAAGAGGAAAAUGAGGAGAGUCCGACUGCAGUGAAUAACCUUCCUUUGACUUGGAGAACACACAAAUAUCACCCAAUUGAUAAUAUUUUUGGAGAUAUCACAAGAGGCGUGACAACACGCUUUAAGAUAAGUAACUUUUGUUAUCACUUUGCUUUUGUCUCACAGGUUAAGCCUAAAAAUGCUAAAGAUGUAUUACUUGAUAAGCAUUGGCUCAAGGAAUUGGAAGAUAAGCUAAAUCAAUUUAAAAUGAAUGAUGUUUGGGACCUUGUCACGCAUCCAAAACAUCAUCAAGUAAUAGGAACGAGAUGGGUUUUUAGGAACAAGCUUGAUGACCAUGGAGUGAUAACCCAAAAUAAGGCUUGGUUAAUCGCUCAAGGGUACAACUAAGAGGAGGGUAUUGACUAUGAGGAGACUUAUGCUUCGGCCGCUCGACUUGAGGCCAUGUGUCUUCUUCUUGACUUUUCUUGCUCUAAGAAUUUCAAAUUAAUUUAAGUGGACGUAAAAAGUGAAAUUCUAAAUGGUUACAUUAAUGAAGAGGUAUAUGUUGCUCAACCUCAUGGCUUUAAAAAUCACGAGUAUCCCAAUCAUGUUUUCUAAUUAAAACAUGCUUUGAAUGGUGGUACUUUAUUUAUCCCCUUGCUUGAGAACAUGUGUGUGCAACAUUUCGGGAGAACCAAAGGCAUAUGUCACGUAAUCGUAUCGAUUUUGUAGCAUGUCAAGUAUUUUUUGUUCACUUUAUUUCAUUCAUUAUUCAUGCUUGUGUUUUGUUUAUUUUUAAGCACUUGAUGUAGUAAUUAUAUUCUAUUCUUUCCUUCUUUGCUUUUAUUUAUGUUUAGGCAUUCUUAUUUAAUAUGUAAACCACUCUCUGUGAGUGCUAUCAUAUUGUUUCUCUUAUCUUUGCAUUUUGCCUCUCUGUGUUUUAUAUUCGUUUAUGUGUGCUUUCACAUUCGCUUCGUUUCUUUUUUAUGUUGUCAAAGGGUGAGAAGAAGCAAGAUGAAGUUUGGGAAUGCAUAUAUUCAGGGGGAGAAGUUAUACAUUACUUACGCAUCGUCUCAAGUUUUGCCAUAAUAAAAAAGGGGGAGUAUGUGAGUGCAUCUUCUGUUAAGUUCCAUUAUGAGUGUUUUGUAAGAUGUCAAAACUAGGAUUCUUUAGUGCUUAUGUACAUUGGACGGUAUUCUCAUAUUCUCUAUGUGCAUUUCAGCAUUAGGAAGCAUACAAGUCUUUGGAAACAUCUUUGAAAAGGCCUCAUGCAUUAAACAUGCAUCAAAAAUUAAGUUUCAUAAAAAUAUUGCAGGACAGGUCGACACAUUCCAAGACAGGUUGACCUAUAGUGAAAGUUUUCAGCCUGUAGGUCGACACAUUUGUGUCAUAGGUCGGCACGUAUAAUGCAGUAUUAAAGCCUGUAGCUUUUGUUUCAUGUGCUGACUCCACAAGUUGAUACAUAGGAGGCACAUGACAUUGAUAGGUCGACACAUGACCUUUAACAGGUCAACCUAUGCCUCAUACAGGUCGACACGUGACUUCAAUAGGUCAACCUAUAGGAUGAUUUUUUUUGCAUAUUUUCAUAUGUUCUCAAAGUUCAUUGCAUUCCUUUUUGCUCUCAUUCACCCAUGCAUAUAUAUACUUCAGACAUGUAUCAUUCCCUAGCAAGGUUUCUAGAGAGAGUAAAAUCUACAUGAAUCUAGUACUUCAAAGCAUCUCAUCAUCUUCAAUUUAAUCUAUACAUACACACAACCAAACUACACAUAAUCAUUUUCUGAUUCGGUUCCAUCUAGAUUAGGAUUGAUAACAUCUAAUUAGGUUUGUUGUACUGAGAAUAUUGGGUUGAGAUAUUUGAGGGAUUCAAAUCAGAAAACUGAGGUGGGGUUGGACAAGAUUGUGCAAUUAGGAUCGGAUCGAGUGAAAGCUUGGGACCUGGUGUGUCAUGCAAGGGAGUGGCGUGAAAUGGUGGAUCGUGUUGACAAAUCUUAGGUUCAAGGAGUAUGCGCUUGGGAUUAAUUCAGCCAAAUGAGCUCCUUGAGACAAGGAGGUCGUGAAACUAAGUAGCAACAACGGUUGAAUUGAAGCAGCAUUGUUGGUGUCUUGAUCAAUCUUUGAUCAAGGUUUUCGCAGGUGCUAGAGUCAAGAACAAAAUUAGAGUUUGUGGGAUUAUAUCUCUCAUCUUUUAUAUACAUACAUUUGCAAAGAUUUAUUAUAAUAAUAUCUCAAUUCGAAUUCGAAUUAAGGGCAGACGUACCCAUAACGAGGUCGAUUCGGGAGCUUCCUAAACAAAUUCUUGUGUACUCUCUAUAUAUCUCUUUUAUUUUUCGAUUCGCAAAUUGUCGAUUGAUUUGAUCACCGGAUCAUAAUAGUUUGGAAGAUAAUUUUAAUUACAUUUUGAAUCUUGUGUUUGUUGUAUUGAUCACUAACCAUUUGGUUGUGAUUGGAUUUCUUAGAACAACAAACACCAUAUAAAAUUCCAAACUUUGUUUUUCGCACACCAAGUGUUCGAUAAAUUGUUUGACAUAGCUUUUUGUGUGUGUAUAUCAUUGGAGGUAGAUUUUUACUAUUAUAGGGUAUUCAAUUAGUUAUGCUUAAUUUUUGUUGAUUGACUUGUGAAUUAUUAUCAUAACAUUGACACCUUUACGCAUAUUUGGGCUAUUGAAUAGUAGGUUCGGUUAGACGAUUUUUAAUCCGGGAAAUAUUUGAAACUUGCUUAUGCGCCAUAAAUUUUGCUAAGUCAAAUUUUUGGAUAAAUUUUUAACUUGGGAUCUAUUCACACACACCCUAUAGAUCUAGGCAUAUCGUCUAACAAACAUAUCCUUAAAAGAUUUCACUCUUGACCCUAUAAUUUUUCAUUCACAGACCAUCAAUGUAAUCCCUCUGGAUUACUAUACUCAAAUCGCCAAUAAAGGUCAUCAAUAUAAUCCCUCUAGAUUACUAUACUCAAAAUAUGUUUUGAAAACAACUUUAAUUAUUUUUUCAUCAAAAGGGGUAAAGUUGUGUUAUUACCCUAAACCUCCAGCUCAUCAAAAUACUCAAGGAACUCAAAAUGUCUCAAAACUCAUAAUCCUCAAAAAUAACCCUCGAGUACCCUAAAAGUACUCUAAGGUACCCAAUGAUCUAAGGGUAAUGGUUCACAGUGAUAACUCUAUUAGGAUAAGAACAAACAAUUUUGCUCAAUUUACUCAAAAGUGACCUUAAGGUCACAAAAAGGAUUCUAAAAACACAAAUUACUAUAAAAUAUCACCGCAAGACUCCCCUACUUGAAAAAAACUGCUAAAAAUGCCUAAAGCAUGGAAAAAUGCUGAAAAUGCCUGAAACUCGAAAUCGUCGCCGGAAAAAUAGGUUGACCGCUGAUUCCUCCCCCCUUAACCAGUUUUUUUAUUUUUUCCAAAAAUUUUGUUUUUCGACUUUUUCCUAAAAAUAUAAUUUUUCAAAAAGAGAUUUCCAAUUUUUAAAUUUUUGUCAUAAACCCGAUUUUUCUUUAAAAUUUAAAUUAAGGUUUUUUUUUAUGUAUUUGGGAGAAUUUCCAAAAAUCAAUCGAUUCAGAAAAAAAAUAAGGAAAUAUAACAGAUACCACACAUUUGGGAAAUCAAACAACUCAAUAGAGUCAUUCGAAAUCACCAGGAAAUUUCCCAAUUCCACAUUAGAAACAGCCAAACAGCAAAGGAAAUCAUACAAUCAAAUCAUCAACAAUACAAGGUUAUAAAUCUACAACCAAUAACACUCAUAGAGACAUUAGGGGAUUUAUCCCAAAUCCUCUUUUUAGGCCUCAAAGCAAUCACAUACAAAAUAUUCUCAAUCAAUCGCACCAAUAAGGUUUUGCCCAAAUCUUAUUUAGUUAAUUCAUAGAGAACGUAAGAAAAAAGAAAAAUUGAGGAGAAAACAUAUUACCCCAAGACGUUGAUAGGAGGGUAAGGAACCUUCACUAUCUUGCAUGCCUAAUUCACCCAUAAGCAACCCCCCCCCCCCCCCCCCCUUACCUUAUUUUUCCAGCAAAGAUGAUGAUUCCUCUUCUCAAGCCUAGCUCUCCUUCCCAAAAUUCUCUUUGUGCCUUCUGCCUCUUUUUCAUGUACUACCAUAAUUUUCUAACCUGUCUUUUCCCAACAUUUUAGAAUUUAUAUGACCUUUACUUCUCUAAAUUAUAAUUUUUGUCCAACUUACUUUCAAUAUCUCUCCUCUCGCCACAUACUCUUCUCCAUUCACACAAAUGUCUCAAACUCCUAUUUAUAUAUAUUAUUAUUUAAAUUAAAUAAAUAUUUACAUUAAAUAAAUAUUUAGUUUAAAUAAUUAUUUAAUUAGGAUUUAUAUACAUUUGUUACUAUUACGCCUUAUUACAAAAUAAUUAAUUAUGUCUAAAUUAUUUUCAAUAAUCCUAAUAAUAAUAUUUUAAUUAUCUGCUUCCAAAUCUCAUAACCCCGGUAAUUAGUAAAUUAUCAAAUUAUCUCUAUACUCCAAAAAACAUCAAAAUUCAAAUAUAAUGAAUAAAUCACACGAACAAUUAAAUAAAAAAUUCAAAUUAUAAGUUGGGGUGUUACAAUCGCCUGUUGUGGUAUCUGAUUAUCAGACACUUGUUAAAUAUGUGUUGGAGAAGCACCAAUGAAAUCAGUAAUUCGACACCUUUGUUGCGCCCAUUGUCGGUAACUCUGGUUAGUAUUAUGAAUCAAAUGAUUGUACAUUAUGCAUAUAUGUUGUGUCAACAUGCUAACCAUUUCGUGAUUACUCUCGUCCAUUUGUUGUCUUACAGACUGGAGAGAAUUAUUAGUUAAGGAUGGCAUCCCUGUAGGAAUAUAUGUUAACCCUCUUAGUGGUUGUGCCAUUCGACCAAGGUUUCUAAUAGGAAAUAUGCUAAGUAUGGAUUAACAGGUGAUAUAGUAGCCAUUGCAUUAUCUACAUCCGUAGAUGCACUAGGGUGUAGGCAUGUCAUCAUCGUAGUUGGCACUCCAUAAGAUUAUUCCCUACCACUUAAAGGUAACGUGAAAAUCAAGAGAAAAUAUGGCCUUUGGACACCUAUCAUAUUUUGUGUAGCCCUAGGGGUAGUGAGAACACUUGUUACUUGUGGUAAGGAUACCACCAUUUCUGGCGAUACAGUCGAUGCCAUUAUCAGACUUAUAACGAUAUGCAUUUCUCCAACAGAAGUUGAAGUUCCUAUGUUGUCAGCCGUUGAUUCGACUGGUUGUUCUUCUGAGUUUGAAGCAUUGUUCUCGGGAGGGGGAGUUUCUAGACAGUGGACGUGUCAUUUCAAGAAGAGUAUUUCCACUCAUUAGAAGCGUACAUACUCGACAACCGAAGUCAUUUGAUGAACGAAGAACAAAAUUUUGGACAAAAGAAACACAACUUUUAUGUAAAAAUUAAACUAUUUACACAAAAGGGUCCCACUGGGCGUGCCAAUUUUUUUACUGGUAUUUUUAGUAAACAAUCACGAGUUUAGUUCUCUUAAAAGAUUAACUUAAAAAAUCUCAAAGACAAUUUGUGCAAAGACAAAUUAUGGUGAAAAUUGUGUGUGAUUUGGAUUUAAAUGUUUGGAUAGUGACUAGUUAAAUGCAAAAGAUAGACUUUGGAUAAAAGAAAUAAAUGACAAAAAGAAAUCAAAUGAAGUAAAUGACAUUUAAUGUAAAUUCUUUGAAUACAAAAGAUUUGCAGAAAGGGUAAAUGGUGGACGUUACUCACAUGUCUCAUAAACCGUUUUGCUCUAUAACUUGAGUACUUUGGUUCUAUAGAGAAUUUGUGAUCUCAACUGCAAUGCAUAAGCUUGAAUUAGAUACUAUUACAAAGAAAAGUGUCGACAAUGGUUAAACCCUAUAAAUCUGACAUGUAUCCCACUACUUAGGCCUUCAUGCUCUAACUUGCCUCCACAUGUCUACAAGGAUAUAACUGCUAAAAAACUAAACAAACAUAGAGAUAACUAUACUGAUAAUCAUUUCUGAACAUGUUACCUACCUCUGUCGAAGGCGGAUACAUCUCCAAAUCACAUAGUCUUAGGACUUAAAAAUAUCCUAAGUUCUUAACACUUAAAAGUGUCGACUUCAUAUCGAAAGGUUGUUAUGUGAUCUUUUAAGAUUUUGAUCAUGUUUGGAAGAGAGAGUGAUCAUAAUCUUAUAGAUCUGUUCCUAAGACUCCUCUAAAUCAUUCUUAUCGUCGACUCCAUUUACAUCUUAGUUGAAUCAACAAGUCAAUACAACCAAUAUGUCGAAGUUUUUGGCUUAAGUUUUUAGACACUUAGUAAUGUCAACGUAAUUUCACCAUCAAUUCAUUGACUUUUCACUUAGCUAAAAAUCUUAGGCUACCAAUCA